Molecule: long non-coding RNA, 611 nt
Organism: Ictalurus punctatus (channel catfish)
Lineage: Eukaryota; Metazoa; Chordata; Actinopteri; Siluriformes; Ictaluridae
Source: Ensembl
UUGGGCCUGGUUAGUACUAGGUUGGGAGACUGAAGGGGAAUACUAGGUGCUGUAAGCUUUUUACUUGGAUCAGUGUUUUCAUGGCCUCUGCACAACAUCCUGUUUUGGGAUAAAGGUUGGACACAGGUUUGAAGGGGACCCAAUCAAUCAAUCAAUCAAUCAGUCAGUCAGUCAGUCAGUCAGUCUUUUGAUUACACUAUUUAAAUAGGCCCCAUUUGGGGUCAGCUGUCGCUUACGGCCAUACCACUCUGAAAAAGCCUGAUCUCAUCUGACCUCGGAAGCAAAGCAGAGUUGGGCCUGGUUAGUACUUGGUUGGGAGACUGAAUGGGAAUACUAGGUGCUGUAAGCUUUUUAUUUGGAUCAGUUUUUCAUGGCCUCUGCACAACAUCCUGUUUUGGGAUAAAGGUUGGACACAGGUUUGAAGGGGACCCAAUCAAUCAAUCAAUCAAUCAAUCAAUCAGUCAGUCAGUCUUUUGAUUACACUAUUUAAAUAGCCCCCAUUUGGGGUCAGCUUUCGCUUACGGCCACACCACUCUGACGGCGCUAGUGAGUAGCACUUGAGAAGUAGGGAGUUGGCUGCAGUUGGUGAGAGAGGCUCACCAAAAUCUUUG